GCGAAUCGAYGGGAAGCUUGCUCCCUGAGAUUAGCGGCGGACGGGUGAGUAACACGUGGGCAACCUGCCUAUAAGACUGGGAUAACUUCGGGAAACCGGAGCUAAUACCGGAUACGUUCUUUUCUCGCAUGAGAGAAGAUGGAAAGACGGUUUACGCUGUCACUUAUAGAUGGGCCCGCGGCGCAUUAGCUAGUUGGUGAGGUAAUGGCUCACCAAGGCGACGAUGCGUAGCCGACCUGAGAGGGUGAUCGGCCACACUGGGACUGAGACACGGCCCAGACUCCUACGGGAGGCAGCAGUAGGGAAUCUUCCGCAAUGGACGAAAGUCUGACGGAGCAACGCCGCGUGAACGAAGAAGGCCUUCGGGUCGUAAAGUUCUGUUGUUAGGGAAGAACAAGUACCAGAGUAACUGCUGGUACCUUGACGGUACCUAACCAGAAAGCCACGGCUAACUACGUGCCAGC
RNAcentral lists this ribosomal RNA (464 nucleotides) under Peribacillus frigoritolerans. RNAcentral's name for it is "bacterial SSU rRNA". It matches the Rfam family "Bacterial small subunit ribosomal RNA", at positions 66 to 512 of the family's 1533-position model. Lineage: Bacteria; Bacillati; Bacillota; Bacilli; Caryophanales; Bacillaceae. The record is from RNAcentral.